UGCCCUGUGACUAUAUGUUUAACGGCCGCGGUAUUUUGACCGUGCGAAGGUAGCGCAAUCACUUGUCUUUUAAAUGGGGACCUGUAUGAAUGGCAUAACGAGGGCUUGACUGUCUCCUCUUUCAAGUCAAUGAAAUUGAUCUCCCCGUGCAGAAGCGGGGAUAAACACAUAAGACGAGAAGACCCUAUGGAGCUUUAGACACUAAAGCAGAUCAGCAUUAAUUCCCUGAAUAUAGGGCACGAAUAUACUGAAACCCUGCCCUAAUGUCUUAGGUUGGGGCGACCGCGGAGAAAUAAAAAACCCCCGCAAGGACCGAAUGUACUACAUUCACAACCAAGAGCGACAGCUCUAAUUAACAGAUAUUUCUGACCAAUAAGAUCCGGCAACGCCGAUCAACGAA
This 400-nucleotide ribosomal RNA is filed under the name Epinephelus areolatus (areolate grouper). RNAcentral describes it as "partial 16S ribosomal RNA". It matches the Rfam family "Bacterial large subunit ribosomal RNA", at positions 1860 to 2456 of the family's 2925-position model. The record is from RNAcentral. Lineage: Eukaryota; Metazoa; Chordata; Actinopteri; Perciformes; Serranidae.